This 65-nucleotide transfer RNA is filed under the name Arge aurora. RNAcentral describes it as "Arge sp. CSCS-Hym-MC0179 tRNA-Pro". The record is from RNAcentral. Lineage: Eukaryota; Metazoa; Arthropoda; Insecta; Hymenoptera; Argidae.
CAGAAAAUAGUUUUAUUUAAAAUUUUAAUUUUGGAGAUUAAAGAAAGGUUUUUAUCUUUUUCUGA